GAUGGUUCUCGUGUGACGCACUCCGGAAUUGGACUCCCUCCUUUCUGGUUCCAGGGUGCUUCACCUGAGAACCGCC
Molecule: non-coding RNA, 76 nt
Organism: Myotis brandtii (Brandt's bat)
Lineage: Eukaryota; Metazoa; Chordata; Mammalia; Chiroptera; Vespertilionidae
Source: Rfam